Molecule: long non-coding RNA, 1273 nt
Filed under: Coturnix japonica (Japanese quail)
Lineage: Eukaryota; Metazoa; Chordata; Aves; Galliformes; Phasianidae
Description: lncRNA (ENSCJPG00005001146.1)
Source: RNAcentral
ACUCCACAGACCCCAUAGACCCCACAGAACACACCCACAGACCCCACGACGCCCACAGACUCCCACAGACCCCAUAGACCACAUCCCAGUAGACCCCAUAGACCCCAUAGACCCCAUAGACCCCACAGACCCCAUAGACACAUCCCAUAGACCCCAUAGACCCAUAGACACAUCCCAUAGACCCCAUAGACCCCAUAGACCCCAUAGACCCCAUAGACCCCAUGACCCCACAGACCCCAAUAGAACCCCAUAGCCCCUAUAGCCCCCAUACCCCAAUAGCCCACAUAGACCGCCAUAGACCCCACAGACCGCCAAUAGACCCUAUAGACCGCCCAUAGACCCAUAGACCCCGAUAGACCCCAUAGACCCCAUAGACAACUAAUAGAUCCCUAUAGACCCAAAUGACCCCCCAUAGACCCCCACAGACCCCAUAGACCCCACAGACCCUAUAGACCCCAUAGACCCUAUAGCCCCUAUAGCCCCUAUAGACCCCGUACCCUGCUGACUAGGGACAGGGUCUUGCUGUCCUCCUGGUAUCUGAGCAGGGAGAUGCUCUUCAUCACGUCGGCCGCCAGGAUGAAGUUCUUGACACUGCGGGUAAUGGGGUCAAUAUGGGGUUAUGGGGUCCAUUAUAGGGUUAGUUAUGGGGUUAUGGGGUUAUAGGGUUAGUUAUGGGGUUAUGGGGGUUAAUGGGGGUUAUGGGGUUUAUGGGGUUAUAGGGUUAGUUUAUGGGGUUAUGGGGUUAUGGGGUUAGUUUGGGGUUUAUGGGGUUUAUGGGUUAUAGGGUAGUUCUGGGGUUAUGGGGUUUUAUACGGGUUAGUUAUGGGGUUAAUGGGUUAUGGGGUUAGUUAUGGGGUUAUGGGGUUAUAGGGUUAGUUAUGGGGUUAUGGGGUUAUAGGGUUAGUUAUGGGGUUAUGGGGUUAUAGGGUUAGUUAUGGGGUUAUGGGGUUAUAGGGUUAAGUUAUGGGGGUUAUGGGGUUAUAGGGUUAGUCUUGGGGUUAUGGGUUAUAGGUUAGUUAUGGGGUUAUGGGGUUUAGUUAUGGGGUUAUGGUUAUGGGUUAAGGGUUAGUUAUGGGUUUAUGGGGGUUAUCGGGUUAGUUAUGGGGUUAUGGGGUUAUACGGGUCUAGUUAUGGGGGUUAUGGGGUUAUAGGUUUAGUUAUGGGUUAUGGGGUUAUAGGUUGAGUUAUGGGGUAAUGGGUUAUAGGUUAGUUAGGGUUAUGGGGUUAUAGGUUAGUUAUGGGUUAUGGGGUUAUAGGUUAGUUAUGGGGUUAU